GAUGAACGCUGGCGGCGUGCCUAAUACAUGCAAGUCGAACGCAUUGAGAGAAGUGCUUGCACUUUUCAAUUUGAGUGGCGAACGGGUGAGUAACACGUGGGCAACCUACCUGAUAGCGGGGGAUAACGAGUGGAAACAUUCGCUAAUACCGCAUAACAAUAGCGAAGGCAUCUUCUUUAUUUAAAAGGCGCUUUCAAGCGUCACUAUCAGAUGGGCCCGCGGUGCAUUAGUUAGUUGGUGGGGUGAAGUCCUAACAAGAGGAUGAUGCGUAGCCGUGUUGAGAGACCGGUCCGCCGAGUUGGGAGAGAGACACGGCCCGAGCUCCUACGGGAUGAUGCAGUAGGAAACCUUCCACAAUGGAAGACUGUCUGAUGGAGGAACGACGCGUGUGUGAGGAAGGCUUUUGGGUCAUAAAGCACUGUUGUAUGCGAAGAAAUGCUAGGCUAGGAAAUGAGCUUAGUUUGACAGUACCAUACAAGAAAGGGACGGCUAAAUACGUGCCAGCCGCCGCAGUAA
RNAcentral lists this ribosomal RNA (516 nucleotides) under uncultured bacterium. RNAcentral's name for it is "partial 16S ribosomal RNA". It matches the Rfam family "Bacterial small subunit ribosomal RNA", at positions 28 to 523 of the family's 1533-position model. The record is from RNAcentral.